GUAUAGGCAAUGCCAACUUCCUUUUUAGGUGGUCUUACCACCCAUUUUAAACCCCUACUUUCCAAGAUUCAUCAAGUCAUCAUUAUUAAAACUAGUAGCAUUUUUUUUUCUAAUAGACACUUUGAUUCACAUAAGAUUCUUAGACUUGGUUGAUUGGGAACACUGAAAUACUGUGACACUUAUGCAAGGAAAUUUUUCUAAUAAAAUAUUAUUUUUCAUGUGUUUUAAACUUUUUGUUUGUUUUGUCUAAGAUAGGAGUUUCCUAUUUAUUUAUUUAUUUAAAAAAUAUUUUAUUUAUUUAUUCAUGAGAGACACACACAGAGAAAGGCAGAGACAUCGGCAGAGGGAGAAGUAGGCUCCAGGCGGGGAGCCUGACGUGGGACUUGAUCCCCGGUCUCCAGGAUCAUGCCCUGAGCUGAAGGUGGCACUAAACCGCUGAGCCACCCAGGCUGCCGGAGUUUCCUAAUUUAGCUCACUUUAGGGACAUGUCUUUUUUUUUUUCAUGUUACAAAAACAACUAGCUUUAAGGUUUAUUUUUGUAACUAUUUUUUUAAACAGAGAAAAACGACACACUCCUUGGGGGAAGGUGAGGGAUUGAGAAGACAGGUCCCUGGGUAAAAAUAAUCACGAUAGCCCUGGAGUUGAUAGGCCUGCCUAGGAGAGACACGGGCACUGCCACACCAGCACAGGGGACAGCUACUGUCUGAGGCUCAGCAGACCAGUUCACACGCCACGCAAAGCUGCUAUAGAUCCAAGUCAUAAAAAUCUUCUAGCUCAUCAUGAAACAAGUCCCACUCGUCUUCAGAGUCUGUCAGGUCGUCGUCCCCACCUGCAACCAAAAGCAUAAGCAACAUCUCACCCAGCUCAAAGGUGACAACCUCCUCUACUUCGUUGUCAAAGGGGUUGCUGUUCUCUCUUUCCUCAAUGAGCUCCCAGAAGUGGUUCCUUUGUUGGGCCCGGUAUCUGCUUGAUGUUCCCACUUUCUGUCUCUGUGGCUCCUCUCUACGGCCAUCAGGGUACCAUGCUUGUAAAAACAGUUCCCUCCAAAUGGGCAGCUCCCACGUCCUUCAUCAAAAUACCUGCACGCCUUGUUGCUCAUUGCCUCCUUGUAUUUCUGAAUGAGUUUCUGCUUCUCUUCUUUCUCCUCCACCCAGUACUCACUUGGAAUGACAAAGUUAGAUGUGAUCCGGCAUUCGGGGCAGGACUUUUAUAUGUUGUGAUCUCUGGGCGGCACGCAUUGGAUGGAGGACCUGCAGCCCACACAUGUCACACGAGUCUCCGUGGAGAUACACACAGUUCUCCCCAUACCGGCACUCUCCCACUGCAGCAUAGGGGCAAAGCUGCUUCUUGGUUUCCACUGCUGUCUGUUCUUUCUCUGAUUCUUCCUUGGUCACAGAGCCCUGUGGGGGCGCUUCAGUGCAGGAAGGGGCAGUACGGCCACAGUAGGGCUGCCCGGGAACAAACUCAAUGGCAUUCACCCAGUCUUCUGAACCUGCGCCGACAGUAGCAAAGUUUGAAUUUCUGGACUCUGCUUCACCCGUAUUCAUUUCAACAACUGGUCCAACUCCCGAUGAGAGACUUGAGGAAGCAGCAAGAGAUGAUUUUGCAGUUAGAUCUGCAGCAGUCACUUCUUCAUGUUUCAAUAGCUUGCUAUGUUCAUAUCUGCAGCGGUCUCCGUAAAUACAGUAGCCUCGCUGAAAAUACUUGCACACUACACCAUAAGGACUGUCAGAGAGGUCAUGCGAGUAGCGACAAUUAUCUCCUUCUUUACAAACCCCGUGCAUGAAAUACCUUAGCUCCUAGUUUUUCUUCUUGCUUUUGGUAUGGGUUGAAGUGGUGGACUCAGAGCUGAUGGCCAAGAAAGAAUUCUUAAGAGGUCUUCAGUUCAAAAAAGGUGGUUUUACCAAAAUAAAGGGACUGGGUUCCUGGGCUGAAAGAGCUGCCGGCACUUGUCUUUGAAAUCAUAACUGUAGAGGCGAUGCUUAUCCUCCUUGGCAUAUACAUC
Molecule: long non-coding RNA, 2005 nt
Filed under: Canis lupus familiaris (dog)
Lineage: Eukaryota; Metazoa; Chordata; Mammalia; Carnivora; Canidae
Description: lncRNA (ENSCAFG00030001144.1)
Source: RNAcentral